UACGUAGGGUGCAAGCGUUAAUCGGAAUUACUGGGCGUAAAGCGUGCGCAGGCGGUUGUGUAAGACAGAGGUGAAAUCCCCGGGCUCAACCUGGGAACUGCCUUUGUGACUGCAUGGCUAGAGUACGGUAGAGGGGGAUGGAAUUCCGCGUGUAGCAGUGAAAUGCGUAGAUAUGCGGAGGAACACCGAUGGCGAAGGCAAUCCCCUGGACCUGUACUGACGCUCAUGCACGAAAGCGUGGGGAGCAAACAGG
This 253-nucleotide ribosomal RNA is filed under the name uncultured bacterium. RNAcentral describes it as "partial 16S ribosomal RNA". It matches the Rfam family "Bacterial small subunit ribosomal RNA", at positions 524 to 776 of the family's 1533-position model. The record is from RNAcentral.